AAACUAACAAGGAUUCCCCUAGUAGCGGCGAGCGAGAGGGAAAAGCCCAGCACCGAACCUCGCGCCCUCGGGUGUCGCGGAAUGUGGUGUUCAGGAGGACCGUGCGCGUCUGUCCGGUAUCGUCCAAGUCUCCAUGAAUGGGGCCAGCAACCCAGAGAGGGUGUCAGGCCCGUGGUGACGAGCCGCGACCGUGCAUUGGGUCUCUCCUUAGAGUCGGGUUGCUUGAGAGUGCAGCCCUAAGCGGGAGGUAAACUCCUUCUAAGGCUAAAUACGGCCACGAGACCGAUAGCAAACAAGUACCGCGAGGAAAGUUGAAAAGAACUUUGAAGAGAGAGUUCAAGAGUGCGUGAAACCGUUCAGGGGGUUAAACGGGUGGGCCCUCGAAGGUCGAACGGUCCCCAUCACGGCUCUCGUUGAGUCGGCCCGCGGCGCGCGCGAUUCCUCUCGGAACGCCGCCGCGGUUCGCCGGCUUGCGGGGGCUGUUAGCUGGGGGCCCAGUAGGACUCCGCAACCGGCUGGCGGGCCGUCAGAAGGGUUCUGGAGGAAGCCUCCUCGCGGGGUGGAUUCCGGGAUUUCCGGACGGUCCCGUCGGCCGUGAACCGAAAUUUCUCUCCUCACGGGGAGAAUGAGCGGAGAGUAGUGUCGGGUCCCACCCGACCCGUCUUGAAACACGGACCAAGGAGUCUAACAUGUGCGCGAGUCGUCGGGUACUACAAAACCCGAAGGCGCAAUGAAAGUGAAGGCCACCCUCGUUGGCGGCUGAGGGGAGAUCCCGUUCUGCUCCGGUAGCUCGGGCGCAUCCCCGGGCGUCGAAGCCGCGUCGCCGGCUAGACGCACCAAGAGCGUACACGUUGGGACCCGAAAGAUGGUGACCUAUGCCUGACCAGGACGAAGCCAGGGGAAACCCUGGUGGAGGUCCGCAGCGAUUCUGACGUGCAAAUCGAUCGUCUGAGUUGGGUAUAGGGGCGAAAGACUAAUCGAACCAUCUAGUAGCUG
Molecule: ribosomal RNA, 996 nt
Filed under: Eulimnadia packardiana
Lineage: Eukaryota; Metazoa; Arthropoda; Branchiopoda; Diplostraca; Limnadiidae
Description: eukaryotic LSU rRNA
Rfam family: Eukaryotic large subunit ribosomal RNA
Source: RNAcentral